UUAUUGGAAACUUUCUGCAGUCUUACCUUCAAAGCUCAGGCGCCUUUGAAGUUCAAUGCGACGGGGAACUGGUGUUCUCUAAAUUGAAAGAAGGUAGAUUUCCAGGAGAGAUCGAACUGAGAGAUCUCAUCAGCAAGACCUUAACAAGACCAAGCACACUCUACUGAAGUAGUAUCAGAAGAUAGUGAAGUUCAACAAAGUAUUUUGGCACGAGAUGGUGUUACAGUAUCAUAUGCCAACAGUGUGUCUUUAUGUUUUUAAGUUACAUCAUGUUCCAAUAUUUCCCAUUUAAGUCUGUUGAUGUAGCAUACCUUGGUUUUAACUAAGGAUGUAUUACUUCUUUUAAUCAAAUCAUAUAAGGCAUUAGUUAUAGCCAUU
Non-coding RNA from Camelina sativa (false flax), 378 nucleotides. The record is from RefSeq and is a predicted model, not a curated record. Lineage: Eukaryota; Viridiplantae; Streptophyta; Magnoliopsida; Brassicales; Brassicaceae.